CAGUAGCCGCGGGAAUACGUAGGGUGCAAGCGUCAAUCGGAAUUACUGGGCGUAAAGCGUGCGCAGGCGGUUAUAUAAGACAGAUGUGAAAUCCCCGGGCUCAACCUGGGAACUGCAUUUGUGACUGUAUAGCUAGAGUACGGCAGAGGGGGAUGGAAUUCCGCGUGUAGCAGUGAAAUGCGUAGAUAUGCGGAGGAACACCGAUGGCGAAGGCAAUCCCCUGGGCCUGUACUGACGCUCAUGCACGAAAGCGUGGGGAGCAAACAGGAUUAGAUACCCGUGUAGUCCCUGUCUCUUAUAC
This 301-nucleotide ribosomal RNA is filed under the name uncultured bacterium. RNAcentral describes it as "partial 16S ribosomal RNA". It matches the Rfam family "Bacterial small subunit ribosomal RNA", at positions 509 to 807 of the family's 1533-position model. The record is from RNAcentral.